GCUGGGCAUGGUGGUGUGUACCUGUAGUUUCAGUUAUUUGGGAGGCUAAGGUUGGAGGACUACUUGGACCCAGGAGUUUAAGGCCAGCCUGGGCAACACAGUGAGAUCCCAUUUUUU
Molecule: small RNA, 117 nt
Filed under: Marmota monax (woodchuck)
Lineage: Eukaryota; Metazoa; Chordata; Mammalia; Rodentia; Sciuridae
Source: RNAcentral